Molecule: long non-coding RNA, 443 nt
Organism: Platichthys flesus (European flounder)
Lineage: Eukaryota; Metazoa; Chordata; Actinopteri; Pleuronectiformes; Pleuronectidae
Exons: 3
Source: RefSeq, a predicted model, not a curated record
UGUGGUGACACCGGACGGAUAUGCGGCGAUGCUCUUGCGUGUGAACGCGUCUGCGGCGCUCUCUAAGCAGCUACGGGGAGAUCUCGCCUCGGACGAGCGAUUAGGACUCGGAGGAGAAGGGGGAGGAGGAGGAGCGAGUAGCAUCAGGGGGAGAACGAAAAAACAAAACACGGCAUCUGCUGGUCCGUCGCGUCCGCUCGGUGGUGAGGGGGCCCGUCGAGUCUCUGAGGAAGCCGGGGGCUGGAUUUGAGCCUCGCAGGGAUGUGCUGCUUCCUGUGUGAUGAGAUCCUGCAGCAUGCAUCCAUCCAGUCCAGUCUCACCAGCCUGGCAGAUAUAGGAGAAAGCUGGACGAUGAAAGGAGGAAGAGGAGGAGAGAGAUGGAGUGAGCAUUCAACGGUGCAGAACUGUUUUUAAUCAGCCCCCCCCCCCUUUUUUUAAAUCAG